Molecule: non-coding RNA, 233 nt
Organism: Camellia sinensis
Lineage: Eukaryota; Viridiplantae; Streptophyta; Magnoliopsida; Ericales; Theaceae
Source: RefSeq, a predicted model, not a curated record
GAAGCCCACUUGGGAGGACAAGAAAAGGGUUGCUGCAACACAUUGUUGCAGGAUUUGAUGAGAGAAGAUUUGAGAAAUUUUUUUCAGAGUCCCUUUUGCUUUCUUGAUCCUAAAAUGGCUACAGUGCUCUUUUCCUCAUUAAGGAGUAAUGGAUUGCAAGUUCCACCCUAGGCAACCAUGGUUAUUCACUGCGGGUGCUGAUUCAGUGAUCAAACUAUAUUGUCAUUAAAAAA